GUCCUUAGCAACCAGCCUUGGUUCCCAGCGGCUCAGAGCGCAGCGAACUCAUCUGAAAGACUUUUAUAAAUGACAGUGCAUCAACAGUUGAGCAUGUGUUAACGUGGAGUGGUAUAUUAAUAGAAAGAAGCAUAAUAUAGCACAAAGCACUCAGUCAAGCUUCUAGUCCAGAAAGCGUAUGAUUUUAUCUGAAGUAAUUUGGAAUAAAUUUACUUGAAGGCAAGGUAUUCUAUAUGAGAAGUUAGGCCAAAUGUUGAUUUGGACAAAAGUGAAUGUAGUAAAAUGGGAAAAAAAUCCUGAAGGCUGGCAUCAAAAUAACUCUUAAACAAUGAACUAUUACAGAGAUUUCCACUUGAGUCAUGACUCAUGCCAUCUUCCCCUCAAGUGCAACAUAAGAAUUUAUGAUUUAUGAAUAUGCCUGUUAACAAAUCACCUAUGAUUAAUACAUGUGGAGGCAUAUCUUCCCCUUAUCAUGAAGAGCUCUGGAAAUUAAAUUUUCAACAUUUAAGUGGAGAAAGGGGUCAUAAAUCAAG
Molecule: long non-coding RNA, 533 nt
Filed under: Homo sapiens (human)
Lineage: Eukaryota; Metazoa; Chordata; Mammalia; Primates; Hominidae
Description: non-protein coding lnc-TMEM232-4:5
Source: RNAcentral